AAGUGUCACGUUAUCAUGUCUUGUCACGGAUAUCUCAUUGUUAUGUCAUCACCUUCAAUGAUGUGACAAUAACGUGUUAGUGACAAUACAUGAUAACGUGACAUUCUGU
Molecule: non-coding RNA, 109 nt
Organism: Glycine max (soybean)
Lineage: Eukaryota; Viridiplantae; Streptophyta; Magnoliopsida; Fabales; Fabaceae
Source: Rfam